RNAcentral lists this ribosomal RNA (467 nucleotides) under uncultured Desulfobulbus sp. RNAcentral's name for it is "bacterial SSU rRNA". It matches the Rfam family "Bacterial small subunit ribosomal RNA", at positions 920 to 1382 of the family's 1533-position model. The record is from RNAcentral. Lineage: Bacteria; Pseudomonadati; Thermodesulfobacteriota; Desulfobulbia; Desulfobulbales; Desulfobulbaceae.
CCCGCACAAGCGGUGGAGUAUGUGGUUUAAUUCGAUGCAACGCGAAGAACCUUACCUGGUCUUGACAUCCCGGAGACCCUUAGGAAACUAGGGGUGCUUCCAUCUGGAAGAAUCUGGAGACAGGUGCUGCAUGGCUGUCGUCAGCUCGUGUCGUGAGAUGUUGGGUUAAGUCCCGCAACGAGCGCAACCCUUGCCUUUAGUUGCCAGCAGUUCGGCUGGGCACUCUAAAGGGACUGCCGGUGUUAAACCGGAGGAAGGUGGGGAUGACGUCAAGUCCUCAUGGCCUUUAUGACCAGGGCUACACACGUACUACAAUGGCCGAUACAAAGGGCAGCGACACUGCGAGGUGAAGCCAAUCCCGUAAAAUCGGUCUCAGUCCGGAUUGGAGUCUGCAACUCGGCUCCAUGAAGUUGGAAUCGCUAGUAAUCGUGGAUCAGCAUGCCACGGUGAAUACGUUCCCGGGCCUU